GGGCAAUAACGGGCCUCCAUUUGACGUUUAAAUUGGCGGGAAAAAUGCAAACGUCAGUUUGACAGUUAACUUUUUUUCCGCUCCGCGCCCGCGUUCCGUUCACCGCGCUAAUGCGUAGUGGAAACAUUAAGCAGUCGCGUAUAUGGUAUACCCACAUACAGCCUAUGCGUCCGGUUGAUAACUAUCGAAAAAUGUCGCUUUUUAUUACGGCAAUUUUUAAAUAAUAUGAUUUUUUUAUUAAAACUUUAAAUGCCUCAGCUGUUUCUGUAUACGUUUUAGCAAAUAUAGUAUAUGUUUAUGGGAAUAAUGUUGAUGCUUAUCCAUCAUUCAUAUCUUUGGCCAUUAAUUUGCAGAUGGUAACUAAUAAGUACGCACCUCGUACAUUUAAUUUAAUGGAUCAGUGAUAAAAAUAAAUUAGGCACUUAGUAGUCUAGACUAAAACUACUUACGCCCUAAUAUUACAAAGUAAAUGAAUAAAAUAUGUAAUAUUGUUGCAUUGAGUGAGCUGCUCAUGUAGUGUAGAUGUCCAGUCAACAAGGAUGUAGCGAGGUUGACUGUCCAGGCGACACACGUACUUAGGUAUCGUCAUGAGCUAAUGUUCACAUGUAAACAGCAGCUCAUGUAGUGUAGAUGUCCAGUCAACAAGGAUGUAGCGAGGUUGACUGUCCAGGCGACACACGUACUUAGGUAUCCUCAUGAGCUAAUGUUCACAUGUAAACAGCAGCUCAUGUAGUGUAGAUGUCCAGUCAACAAGGAUGUAGCGAGGUUGACUGUCCAGGCGACACACGUACUUAGGUAUCGUCAUGAGCGAAUGUUCACAUGUAAACAGCAGCUCAUGUAGUGUAGAUGUCCAGUCAACAAGGAUGUAGCGUAGACUGUCCAGGCGACACACGUACUUAGGUAUCGUCAUGAGCUAAUGUUCACAUGUAAACAGCAGCUCAUGUAGUGUAGAUGUCCAGUCAACAAGAAUG
Long non-coding RNA from Spodoptera frugiperda (fall armyworm), 971 nucleotides. RefSeq lists it as uncharacterized. Lineage: Eukaryota; Metazoa; Arthropoda; Insecta; Lepidoptera; Noctuidae. The record is from RefSeq and is a predicted model, not a curated record. The transcript has 3 exons.